GACGAACGCCGGCGGCGUGCUUAACACAUGCAAGUCGAACGGAAAGGCCCUGCUUUUGUGGGGUGCUCGAGUGGCGAACGGGUGAGUAACACGUGAGUAACCUGCCCUUGACUUUGGGAUAACUUCAGGAAGCUGGGGCUAAUACCGGAUAGGAGCUCCUGCUGCAUGGUGGGGGUUGGAAAGUUUCGGCGGUUGGGGAUGGACUCGCGGCUUAUCAGCUUGUUGGUGGGGUAGUGGCUUACCAAGGCUUUGACGGGUAGCCGGCCUGAGAGGGCGGCCGGCCACAUUGGGACUGAGAUACGGCCCAGACUCCUACGGGAGGCAGCAGUGGGGAAUAUUGCACAAUGGGCGGAAGCCUGAUGCAGCAACGCCGCGUGCGGGAUGACGGCCUUCGGGUUGUAAACCGCUUUCGCCUGUGACGAAGCGUGAGUGACGGUAAUGGGUAAAGAAGCACCGGCUAACUACGUG
Molecule: ribosomal RNA, 468 nt
Filed under: uncultured bacterium
Lineage: Bacteria
Description: partial 16S ribosomal RNA
Rfam family: Bacterial small subunit ribosomal RNA
Source: RNAcentral